GUGAACUCCAAGGUCAGAAGAGCUGAGGCAUGGAAAUUCAAUGAUUUUUAAACCCAAAGAGAGGGAAAGGCAGGAGAACCACCACAGUACUUUCUAGCACUCAAAAUGAAGCUUGAGGAAUUCAAGUGGUCAAGUGGAAAUAUGGUAUUUAUGUGGCAAGGCUUUGACAGUAACACAUAUGCUGGAAUGGACACAGCUGGUGCAAGCUCUCUCUAAAAAGUCCACUGUAGGAUGUGGCUGAAUCUGCCCAACAAAGAUGGUGGCACCUCUGGGAAACCUUAUUUAAGAAAGGACAAAACACUGUGUGACAGAGAAGUGUGAGACAAAACGUGAGAGAAGCAGACCUGCAGACACCAAGUCCUGACAAGAAGGAAUAGGUGACCCAGUCACCAGGGCCCAGGUUUCCCUUCCCAGUUUCCCUGGUGGUGGAGACCAUGGUGAGGCAUUUUGUUCCACACUGUACAUUCUAAAGCACUGCAGCUGCAGCAGGGGAGCCCAUCCUCAAGGAACAUGCAGCCCAGAGAGUGACGGCAGGAGCAGGCACCUGGCAGAGGAGCUGAGCUGUACCACCAAAGUGUUUUAAGAAAUGGGAAGAAUGGGAAUGCAUGUAACAAGAUUUAGAUAAAUAUAUAGGUCCUUUAAAUCUUAAGAUACCAUUGACUAAAAAAAUAUUAAACCAGAUACUCUAAAUCUUAAACUGCCAUUGUCAGCAAAACAAACAAUGCACUACAAUUCUAAAUAACAUAAAAUAGAAAAAAUAAUAGCAUUACAUUAAUCGGUA
Molecule: long non-coding RNA, 781 nt
Organism: Zonotrichia leucophrys gambelii
Lineage: Eukaryota; Metazoa; Chordata; Aves; Passeriformes; Passerellidae
Exons: 3
Source: RefSeq, a predicted model, not a curated record